UGGAACACAAUUACCAUUUAAAUGCCCACCUCCAUAGAAAUCACAUUUCAGAGUUUGGAUUUGACUUACAUUAGCUUGGAUCAGCUAAGAAGCAGCCAACUUCUUGGUAAGGUCCUCCAUAUGGGCUAGUAAUGCAGUUUGUAUGUUAACAACUAACACACCUUUUCCUUUCACACCUUUCCCACUUGAGUGGUAUUCAUUUCGACACAUAUUUUCAAUGAG
Molecule: long non-coding RNA, 222 nt
Filed under: Lathyrus oleraceus (garden pea)
Lineage: Eukaryota; Viridiplantae; Streptophyta; Magnoliopsida; Fabales; Fabaceae
Description: Pisum sativum (pea) long non-coding RNA (PSAT_LNC024068)
Source: RNAcentral